CAGCCGCCGCGGUAAAACGAAGGGGGCUAGCGUUGCUCGGAAUGACUGGGCGUAAAGGGCGCGUAGGCGGCGAUCAAAGUCAGGCAUGAAAUUCCUGGGCUCAACCUGGGGGCUGCGCUUGAUACUUGGUUGCUUGAGUGGGGAAGAGGGUCGUGGAAUUCCCAGUGUAGAGGUGAAAUUCGUAGAUAUUGGGAAGAACACCGGUGGCGAAGGCGGCGACCUGGUUCAUGACUGACGCUGAGGCGCGAAAGCGUGGGGAGCAAACAGGAUUAGAUACCCGUGUAGUCCCUGUCUCUUAUAC
Molecule: ribosomal RNA, 301 nt
Filed under: uncultured bacterium
Lineage: Bacteria
Description: partial 16S ribosomal RNA
Rfam family: Bacterial small subunit ribosomal RNA
Source: RNAcentral